CUUUUUGAUAAAGCGAGAGAAAGAGAGAGAAUGGAUACGAAAAAUAGAGAGACAAAAUCUCAAGGGUAAUUUUGUCUAUUUUCUCAGCAAAAACAAGAUAAAGUGCCUAAACUUUGAAAAGUGUCUAAAACGGAAAAACAUUUCUUAAAAGUGCCUCAUAGUGUCACAUUCCCUUUUAAUUAACUAUUAAUUUUAAGAUUUUACGACAUUAAUUUUAUAAUUUUGUA
RNAcentral lists this small RNA (227 nucleotides) under Arabidopsis thaliana (thale cress). Its description in RNAcentral is "ATSL097460". The record is from RNAcentral. Lineage: Eukaryota; Viridiplantae; Streptophyta; Magnoliopsida; Brassicales; Brassicaceae.